AUACGGAGGAUCCGAGCGUUAUCCGGAUUUAUUGGGUUUAAAGGGUGCGUAGGUGGUUUGAUAAGUCAGCGGUGAAAGUUUGCAGCUUAACUGUAAAAAUGCCGUUGAAACUGUCGGACUUGAGUGUAAAUGAGGUAGGCGGAAUGCGUGGUGUAGCGGUGAAAUGCAUAGAUAUCACGCUGAACUCCGAUUGCGAAGGCAGCUUACUAAGCUACAACUGACACUGUAGCACGAAAGCGUGGGGAUCAAACAGGAUUAGAUACCCUGGUAGUCCACGCAGGAAACGAUGAUUACUAGCUUUUUGCGAUACACAGUAAGCGGCACAGCGAAAGCGUUAAGUAAUCCCCCUGGGGAGUACGCCGGCAACGGUGAAACUCAAAUGAAUUGACGUGG
This 393-nucleotide ribosomal RNA is filed under the name uncultured bacterium. Its description in RNAcentral is "partial 16S ribosomal RNA". It matches the Rfam family "Bacterial small subunit ribosomal RNA", at positions 523 to 918 of the family's 1533-position model. The record is from RNAcentral.